This is a long non-coding RNA of Triticum aestivum (bread wheat), 380 nucleotides long. RefSeq lists it as uncharacterized. The transcript is spliced from 3 exons. The record is from RefSeq and is a predicted model, not a curated record. NCBI's taxonomy places the organism in Eukaryota, Viridiplantae, Streptophyta, Magnoliopsida, Poales, Poaceae.
CAGCGGGGGUAGAGACGCAGGGUGAGGAGCACCCGUUGGAGGCGCUCGAUGCGGCUCCCCCGUCACUCCUCCUUCUAUGCCCACUGCUGGUGCUCCCCCGUUGCUCCUCCUCCUCCAUCGUGAGGCGCUGCACUUGGGUUAGGAUUUUCUAUUGGAUUGGUGACUGCUGUGAGCUGGUAAUAUGUCAUGCUUGGCCAUCCCGUUGCAGGUUGCCACCAAUGGGAAUACAGCCAGUGGACUGGUUUUGCUUGUCAGCGACCAAAACAAGAACAAGUCAAUUCUUAUAUGUACAUAUUCAAUUUGUGGAUGGUUGGAGGCUCUGUGUUCAUGGUUUAUAUGGGUCAUCUUUAUAUCUGGGCCAUGGUGGUUGUGAUUCAAAU